RNAcentral lists this long non-coding RNA (6511 nucleotides) under Sus scrofa (pig). RNAcentral's name for it is "lncRNA (ENSSSCG00025032313.1)". The record is from RNAcentral. Lineage: Eukaryota; Metazoa; Chordata; Mammalia; Artiodactyla; Suidae.
AAAACCCAAAGUUAAUUAAAAGGUUAGUAAGAAAUUGUGUACUAACUUUUCCAAGGCAUUGAAACCAAUCUUUUUAAAAAGAUAUUUUUUACACUGAAAUCUUCACAGAGCACAAGUUAUUGUUAGAAAUAUAAGGGAUGACCCAAAGGAUCAUAUAUAGAUAAUGGAGGCUGAUACUCUAAGUUUUACAUGAAAAAAGAAAUAUUAAUAUGUUGAUUCCAUGUUUCAGCAGCAACAUCUAUGAGUCAGUUCUAAAAUUUGACUGUUCUUAGACUGGGUGAAUUAACCAUUUACAGGUGAGUCCAAACCCUCCCUCAGAACACAUGUGUAUACAAAUGUACCUAAGACAAACAUUUGUUCUCACUGCUAUGCAAUAUCAUAUCUGUUUGUGUUAAAUUAGUUGAAAUUAGUGGGUUGAGGCACUGUUCUUGUAUUCACAAGAACUGGUCCUGUUGGCGUCUUCCUCUGUGACAAUCUUUCUGUACCAUAGUCUUGACCACAGUGAAAUGGUUGUAAUAAAACAUAUCCUAUAUAAUUCACAUAAUAACUAAUAUGGAGCAGUAGAACAGUGGUAAACAACCAGCCCACCAAACUUGGUAUAAAAUAUCAUGAUAUAGGGAAUAAAAUUUUAAAUAGAAAGUAACAUUCCAUGGGCAUGUACUGUAGAUCAGUCAUUGUGUUAAGCAUUGCAUAUAUUAUAUGUAACAUAUCAUUUAUCCUCACAAAAUUCCUGUGAGAUAGAUACUAUUUCUGAUGGGUAGCUAGGCAAUCUGAAAUGUUAAGACUCCAAAAUUCAUAAAAAUCCAAACAGGUGUAAGGCAUCAAACCUAGUACAAAUUAUUUCAGAUUUUGAAAGAGACACUGUGCUUCUGGCUUUAAAGAUGGAGAAGGGACCACAAAACUGUAAUAAAAUACACUUAUGUUGUUUUAAGCUACAAAGUUCAUGGUCCCUAAUUUUAGUAGUUAUAAGUAGUAUAAGAUGAAUGAUAUUGAGAUAUCUGAAAUCUGAAGGAGAGAAAAAUGGGAAUCUACUGCAAUCUCAAAAACUUCCCAGAGAAGAUGAUACACCAGCAGACUACCGAUGAUUAUUCUGCUCCUUCAGCCAGAUCCUCAGUGGAAAUGAUGACACAGGGCAACCAGGCCCUCACUGGUACUUGGUAUAAAAUAGAUACUCGGUAAGCGUUUAUUGUUGACUGAAUGUAGGCGUACAGACCACAUGGACUGUUACAAUAUAGCUGACCCUUCUGAUGCCAACACAGAGAAAUUCUGGAUAAAAUAUAAAAGUAAAUAGAGAGUUGAGCUGAAACUCAAGAAUUGGAAAUUCCGGUACCAGAAAUGCAGCAGAAACUUGAAGCUAGAACAAUCAGCUUACAUUCCAACAGCAAUAUAUGUCUAAAUCAUCAUAAUGUGAUGCUGGAGUUUUAAUGCUCAUUCGGGGACAGAAGAUGUGACACGGGUUUAAAAUGACCCUUGGAGAAAGUUUGAAUUCUGGCAAAGUUGCUCCUCAGAUAAAGAGAACUUAAAAAUCUCUGAUCUUCUCUUAAGGAAGUGAUAAGAAAGAUGGUCUCUGCUUUAAAAUUUUAAAAGUCUGCUGAAAGAAUUUGAAAGUGCAAGCCAGGCCCUCCUGUGGAUCUAUAUUCCAAACCUACAGUUCCCACGUAGUAGGAGACCCUCUUAAGUUGAGAAAUUAAUGGAAAAAACUGUGGUUCUGGACAAAUGAAACCGCUGAAGUGUUCAGCAGAAGAAAUCACACAACUUUUCUCUAUUGACACUGCCUCACCUCAUAGCCAGUGUAAUUACCAUUAAUAAAACAAUUACAUCAAAGUUGAACUCACAACAAUAAAUGACAAACUGCAUGAGGAAAUGCUCCACCAGGAAGGAGAUUUAGCACAUAUGACAAAUGGCAGGAUUAGCAUAUGAAGAAUUGGGGGGGGGGAGAAAAACUGAAUAAUUCGGGAGAAAAUACAAAAUGUACAUGUUCCAGACGACAAAGUAGUGGGUGAAUUGAACAGCAGAUUUUUCAUGGCUGAGGAGGGAACUGGUGAGUUAAAAAGUAGGUAGAAUACAAACUAGAAAGAAAAUGUAUGGGAUAUAUGAAAAAAAUUGGGAUAUGGAGGAUAGAAAAAACAGCUCAAUUUAUAUACCCUCAGAAGGAGAUGAUACAAAGAACGAAGAAGAGGCAAUAUGGGGAGAUACAAUGGUUAAAAUUUUUAAAAAAUAAUGAAAGACUCAAAUCUUCAUAUUUAAAGAAGCAUCCAAAUUCUAAGCAACAUAAAGAAAAAUUGUUCUAGGUACCUUUUAGUUAAACUGUAGACGCCAAAGAUAAAAAGAAAACCUUAAGGACAAUCAGAAGUUAAUUAGAGUUCAUUUAUUUUUAUUGUGCUUAUCACACAAUAAUGACAAACAGUAAAUUAAAUAAGGUGAAGCUGCUAUUCUGGAAGUCCAAAGAAGUGUUAGUUGUUGUUAGUCUGGCAAAAUUGGAAAGGAAAAACAAACUUUGAUGAACAACUACUAUGUACCAGAUGAUAAGUUAGAUUUUUAAAAAUGUAAUGCUAUCUAAUUUAAUUCUCAAGAAUUCUCCAGAUCAUAUUAACUACAUUUUAUUUUAAAAAUGAAAGCGAGUUUAAACAUAGACGUCUUGCCAAUCAUGCUAUCAAUAAAUCAAAAAGUCAGAAUUCCUAAGGAUUUGACUCUAAAUUACACUAAACAGAAUCAGCUCAGAACAGAACAAAACCACAUAGCUGUGCUACUAACCUGGUUGUGUAAUUUGAGAGAUGCCAUAUAGCUUGAGACUGUUUUCUCAUCUGUGAAAUGUGAUUUAAAAUAGUACUAACCUCAUAUGAUUGUUGUGAGAAAUAGUUAUCAUAUGUAGGUAAUAUACAAUUGGGCACAUACUGAAUAUUUUUAAAAUGCUAGCAAUUUGUGUUCAUUACAGCUAAUUAAUUAAUUACAGCUAACUAAUUACUAAAAGUUAAUUACACGAUAUUUGGCAGUCACUCGGUGUAGGAAGAUACCAUGUUUUAUUCAUCUUUUGUUCUCUAUAGCCUUAUGUAAUAGGAAUUUUAUUAACAUUGAGCAAAUUAUUAUAAAGUACAAUAAUUUAUAUUCACAGUAUUGACUACGGAACUGUAAAAGAAGGCUAGACUUUGAUAUUCUCUAAAAUUGGAAAAGCCCAAGUAAUCCAUUUAGGAAGUUCCCUAUCAAAAGUGAUUAACUUGCAAAAUUUGAAAGAAUAAACAAGAUUCUCAGGAAAAACUUUAUGAUGGAAUGGCAUCUUUCCUGAUGUUUAGGAUUCAAUGGCUAAGUACUUAUUGUACUCCAGAAGGAGAAAAAUAUGUCUGUUUCUCAGAAGUUGUUCCCUGGGUUAAAAAAAAAAAUAGACAUAAAUAUCUAUUAAAUGGGCUUGAUGGGUGUGCCAGGAAAAUGAUAAUGCAUUAAGAGAGGAUUACAACUUCAGCUUAUAGUUUCCUGAUGUACAGGGUGGAGACAAUGUUUUCUAAAUUUGUCUUCUCAAAAAAAUUUUAACCUAGGAUAUCGUUCUCCCUUCAAUCUAAUGUAGGAAUAAUCAAAUGAAAUGAAUAAAUGUAUGAAUAAUAAAAAUGAACACAAUCUUCAGAAUGCUUGCUUACCCUUAAAUCAGUCCAAUUAGUGCCUUUUCUUUGGAUUCCAGAUUGAAAAAUUUCCUCCCUCAGGAACUAUUGAAAAUUACUUCAGAUUAUAUCAGAGUUUAUAUACAUUUUGUCCCUCCUACAGCAACUGGAAUAAUGCCAGUACUUAAUAGGUUCCAAAGAAAUCUGUAUUAAGUGAUUUAAUUAGAUAACUUUGACAACUAAUAACGCUGUAUGCUGAUCGCCAACAACGGCAGGACCUAAAGAGCCCAGUACUUACAUGGAUCUCAUCAACAACAACCUUCAAUGAUAAGUAACUGCCAGGAGUCCUCAGGGUUCCUCCCAAGUGUCAGACAACUGUGCUGGCUCUUUAUGUAUUUUGUUUCCCAAACUUGCCUAAUGAUAAAAAUCAUCUAAGAUGUAUGUUAAAAAUGCAGUUCAGGCACCACAUGGAGAUUCUGAUUCUGUAAGUCUAAAUGGACUCAGGUAUACAGAUCUUUUAAAAGGAUGGUCCUUAUGAUUAGAUAAUCUUGGGGGGGGAGCUAUUUUAAUCCUCACAGCCAUCUCUGGAGGUAAAUGAGGUGAAUAUACUAAGAUUGAGCACCAUGUUGGGACACACUCAGGGUCACCCAUCUCAUGAACAACAGAACUGGGGUUCAAAAUUAGUUCUGCUUUCCCCAAAGCCUGAAUGUCUCCUGCCUAACUUUCUCAACCAAGACACGUGGAAGACUUUCAGGUUAUUGCUGUUUCUCAGUCUUGAGGAAGCCAUGAAUGCCCUUGAACUAGACCCUUGGAUAAAGUGAAGCUGGUUUCCAACCAACUUAACUGGGACCAAGAUGGAAUGAGUAGGCUGCGGCCAGAGCUGGUUUGGUUUAAACUCUGCUGCAGUCUGACAAGAAAAAAAAAUCAGCUGUGGGGGUUGGGGGGGGGGGUGUCUCUGCCUUUGCCCCUGAGUGCAAAGGCAAGGUCUUUUUUUCUGCCAAGGCAAGCAAAGGGCUUUGGAUUAUUGCUGUUCCUUCUUCCAUGAGGGCAACAGGCCAGGUAGCACUUCCAAAGGCAAUAGGUUUUUCUUAGUAAAGCCAUAAAGAUAGCUCUUCAUGUGCUCUCCUGAUAGAACCACCAUUGUACCUUUUGUGUUAUGCUAAGCUUGCUUCAGCUUUUCUGCAUGAGAACCUGUGUCUGCCCUCAGAUUUCUGAAUAAACAGUGUCAAUAUUUACCAAGAACUUUUGGGUGCAUAGAGAACACUGUGGGCAAAGCAGACCCAACUGUAAGGAUGCAGGGUCUCACAAACAUCAGGUUUGAGAGAAUAUGAGAGGAAAGGGCUACUCGAAACUCUGUCCUGCAAGCUUCCACUUUAUUUACCUUAUUUAUGUGUUUUUCUUCUGCACUUAACCUUGGGGCCCUUUGGAAUAGGGGUUUGUAUUUGGAUUUCUAAUGCACAAUAGGUUUAUACUACGAAUUUGUGAAAGAAUUUAACUAUCCAAUCUUAAUUUCAUUGGGUCUCAGUUUCUUUCUCCAAAAGAUGUAGGUGAUAAUAAGUGGCCACCUAUUUUGCAGAGUUGUUGUCCUAAGGAAAGGGGAUACGUGCGAGCAGCUCAUAAACUAAAACAUUAAUGGAUGCAAGGCAGGUGGAUUAUGUUCCAUCAUCAUCCUAUCCAUUGUAUGGUAUUUAUCACAGUGUCUGACCCAGAAUAAGUACUCGGUGUUCAACACCCUGGAGCUUAAUUUACCAUGAGCACAGUGGCACAGUGUUCAAUCUCACUGAAUUCUCACUUUAGCCCCAUAAAGUAUUGAUGAUAUUAUCAUGUCAUAGAUGAAAAAGCCUAGAGAACAAUGACUUUCCCCAGACCAUACACAGUGAGUUUAUGGAAGAGCUUGGACUGACCAUGUGGGUAUCAUUUCAAAGUCUUUAUCCCUAACCAUUAGUGAGCAAGAAUGGGGCUUGGAUUGACCAAAAGCCUAAAAGAGAAGGUAGGGUGGCGGGGGGGAAGAGGAUCAAAUACAGAGGACAGUAUCUCAGCUAAGAAAUACCAUUGUAUAGACAAUAUAGAGAAGAUGUCAAGUAAUAUUCCCAGGCAUAAAAUGUAUUUAAAUCUAAGAUACUUCCUUUAAAAUAAACAUUUACAACCUUAAUAUAGCCUCCUUAAGAAAACAAAAAGCAAGCAAACUCUGUAAUCAAUUCCUUCAACAAAUCUCACCAGCAAAGCAUGAUGAAUAUGUCGAAAGCUCUUGAAACUGUCAGCAUCUGCUUUGCUGGGGCCCAUCUCAUCUGAUCAUUUAUUUGACAGAGGAACAGCUCCAGCUUUUGCAGUUUUCCUUAAAUUGCUGAGGUUCCCCCCACCUCCAAUUAAAUCACCCAGUGACAGCAGCAAUUCUAUUAGGCUACUUUCUUAACUCGGUCAGAAGGCAGAAAGAUAACAAGGUAAGGCUUGCAACAAUAUAAAUCAUGUUAAGAACCAUCACUCAGUGGCUUCAGAUCCAAAUCAAAGCUAUGAAAUACAGGAUGACACUAGAUGUUGAAAUGAAAAAUACCAACCAUGUUUCUCUAAGGCUCAGGCAUUAAUACACAGCCACAUUUUAUGUAACAGUCUGCUUAGAGGAUUAGUAAAACAGAGGCUGCAAAACCUGGAAAUCCUCCUACCCACAUUAAGCUAAUUGAGUUGGAGACAUCCAAUUCAUCACAUUUGCAGCCUGAUUUAUAAGCAACUCACCCUGCCCUAGAGCAGAAAGUGAAACGUUAUGAGCUAGCGCUUCUUAUAAUGUGAAACCUCACAACUUGGAACCUGUCAAUAUCAUAAUGGUAUAGAGAGAAGGAAGAAUCCAAUUCAAGUGCAUGUCUAUGACCCUGAUGAAAAAAUAAAUAUCCAAUGCACAUUUUAUGACUGACAUUUCCAUAAAGAGU